GGAAGUUCUCUAAGAGGCAGUGAAAUAUCAAACUCUGGCCUACCAAAUUCAUCUGGUGAUGGUUCUCUUGACCUUCCUGGGGGUUCUGAGGUUCUUAGUAUGGCAGGGGNNNNCUUGGCAGCACGGAGUUGCAAUUUACAGGUGAUGCACAAAUAGUCCUUCCAUUGGAUCAGCGUCAUAAAAUGAACAGGGUUCUAACAACCAUGCAGCGGAGAUUAGUCACAACAAAAACAGACAUGGAGGACCUUAUAGCAAGAUUAAAUCAAGAAGUAGCUGUAAAAGAUUACCUUUACAAAGGUCAAGGAUUUGGAGGCAGAACUUGAAACUACCAAACAGAAAAAUAAAGAAAACCUGCAGCAGGCUAUUUUAAUUGAGAGAGAAAGGCUUACACAAAUGCAGUGGGAUAUGGAGGAACUGAG
RNAcentral lists this unclassified non-coding RNA (419 nucleotides) under Hevea brasiliensis (rubber tree). Lineage: Eukaryota; Viridiplantae; Streptophyta; Magnoliopsida; Malpighiales; Euphorbiaceae. The record is from RNAcentral.